UGAAACUGGGGGUCUUGAGGGCAGGAGAGGAAAGCAGAAUUCCUGGUGUAGCGGUGAAAUGCGUAGAAAUCAGGAGGAAUACCAGUGGCGAAGGCGGCUGCCUGGACUGCCCCUGACGCUG
This 121-nucleotide ribosomal RNA is filed under the name uncultured bacterium. RNAcentral describes it as "partial 16S ribosomal RNA". It matches the Rfam family "Bacterial small subunit ribosomal RNA", at positions 628 to 748 of the family's 1533-position model. The record is from RNAcentral.